CACUCCCCCGCGGAGGAGUGUCUGAGUGCCAACACAGUGUCUAGCAAACAGUAGGCGCAGGAAACAUACGAGCAUGAAUGAAUGAGUAAGCGCGUGGUCCUGCGAGGGAGGAGUUUUAACCGCAUCUUUCCUUUGGAUCCCAGCAGGAUAUGAUGAGGGUACAAACGUUUCGUUACAUUUUAUGUCUUUGCCUCUCCCAAGCAAGGAUGAGAGGAGUUGAGGCAUGGUGGACAAAAAGGAGAAAGAACUGAGGGUGGACAGGAUAGAGGUGAGGCCAGGAGUCCCUGUCUGCAUUCAGGAUUACUGGCUGUGGUUUGGCCAAGCCUGACAAAUGCCACUGAGGAAGGUAACCGUGGCUCACGGUUUGACAUGUGGCCUGCCAGGCCCCAUGGAUGUGGAGG
Lemur catta (Ring-tailed lemur) is the source of this 401-nucleotide long non-coding RNA. RefSeq lists it as uncharacterized. Lineage: Eukaryota; Metazoa; Chordata; Mammalia; Primates; Lemuridae. The record is from RefSeq and is a predicted model, not a curated record. The transcript has 5 exons.